GCGCGAUAGCUCAGUCGGUAGAGCAGUAGUCUCGUAAUCCGGUGACCUGGGUUCGAAACCAAGUCGAUGCG
Strongylocentrotus purpuratus (purple sea urchin) is the source of this 71-nucleotide non-coding RNA. The record is from Rfam. Lineage: Eukaryota; Metazoa; Echinodermata; Echinoidea; Camarodonta; Strongylocentrotidae.